Molecule: ribosomal RNA, 89 nt
Filed under: Duganella sp. FT27W
Lineage: Bacteria; Pseudomonadati; Pseudomonadota; Betaproteobacteria; Burkholderiales; Oxalobacteraceae
Description: partial 23S ribosomal RNA
Rfam family: Bacterial large subunit ribosomal RNA (bases 1-71)
Source: RNAcentral
GAUAGGCUGGGUGUGGAAGUGCAGUAAUGCAUUAAGCUAACCAGUACUAAUUGCCCGUACGGCUUGUCCCUAUAACCUUAGCAGGUUAU